UCUCAAAGAUUAAGCCAUGCAUGUCUAAGUACAAACCGGUGAACCUGCGGAAGGAUCAUUAAAUCAGUUAUAACUUCUUUGCUCUAGAGUUUCUAAAUGGAUAACUGUGGUAAAUCUAGAGCUAAUACAUGCAAACUUGGCGAGUCCGCAAGGAUGAGUCGCAUUUUAUUAGACCCAGAUCAUAGGGCGCGCAAGCGUCUUUACAUCAGAGGUGACUCUAGAUAACAUUAAGCUAUCAUUUAAGUCCUCUUUGAGCGACGGUGAAGUGUAAUUCAGGCUUCUGCCUUAUCAACUUUUGUUGGUAGGCGACGGGACUACCAAGGUGGUCACGAGUAACGGGGAAUAUGGGUUUUAUUCCGGAGAAGGAGCCUGAGAAACGGCUACUACAUCUAAGGGUGGCAGCAGGCGCGCAAUUUGCCCAAUUUUAGAUGUAGGAGGCAGUGACGAGACAUAAACAUUGCGGAUCCCAGUUUCGAUUGGGCUUCUGCAUAUAUAUUGUGAUUGAGCACAAUGUAAAUGCUUUGGCGAUUAUCUAUUGGAGGGCAAGUCUGGUGCCAGCAGCCGCGGUAAUUCCAGCUCCAAUAGCGUAUAUUAAUAUUGUUGCGGUUAAAAAGCUCAUAGUUUAAAAUCGAAUUGAGUUUGAUUAAGCUCCCUUACACUAGUUUGGGCUUGAAUGUUUAAUCUACGACUUAAUUCAUAUAGACGUUUGCUGAGUGCAUUGUGAUGUACUUGUGCAGCGUUAACGAUUACUUUGACUAAAUCAGAGUGAUCAAGACAGGCUUGUUUAAUACGGCCUUGAAUGCUCUAGCAUGGAAUAAUAGAAUAAGACUCUUUGGGUCUGGUGAUGUAAAUUCACACUAUGGUCUUCAGUACCUUGAGUAAUGAUUAAAAGGGAUUGACGGGGGCAGUCGUAUUGCUGGGCUAGCGGUGAAAUGCAAUGACCCUGGUAAGACGUCCUAAAGCGAAAGCAUCUGCCUAGGAUGUUUUCAUUAAUCAAGAGCGAAAGUUAGAGGUGCGAAGGCGAUUAGAUACCGCCCUAGUUCUAACCAUAAACGAUGCCAACCAGCAAUCAGUCUGAGAAUUCAAGAUUUUUACAAACUUAGUACUUGAAUUAGACUGGUUCUCCCGGAGAAAUCAGAGUGAUUAGGCUCCGGGGGAAGUAUGGUUGCAAGGCUGAAACUUAAAGGAAUUGACGGAGGGGCACCACAAGGAGUGGAGCUUGCGGCUUAAUUUGACUCAACACGGGAAAACUUACCAGGUUAAUACACCUUUAUGAUUGACAAGUUGAAGACUUUUCUUGAUUUAGUGAAUAGUGGUGCAUGGCCGUUAUUAGUUCGUGAAGUGAUUUGUCAGGUUGAUUCCGACAAACGGACAAGACUCUAGCCUGUUAAUUAAUAGUUUUUACUUGAUGCUUAGGUAUUAAGUGAAUUUUCUCAUUAGAGGGAUUAAUGACGUUUUUUAUAUUACAUGUAGUCAUAGAGAGAUGGAGAACAACAACAGGUCUGUAUGCCCUUCGAUAUCUUGGGCCGCACGCGAGCUACAUUGAAGAGAACAAUAAGUAUUUUAUAUUCCUGCUCUGAAAAGAGUUGGGUAAUCUUAGAAUUCUCUUCACCUCUGGGAUUGAGCUUUGAAAUCUUAGCUCAUGAACGAGGAAUUCCUUGUAAAUGUGAGUCAUUAGCUUACGUUGAAUGCGUCCCUGCCCCUUGUACACACCGCCCGUCGCUACUACCGAUGAAGUGCUUAGCAAGAACAAUGGACAGUUGGAUGCAUGCCGGCGUUUCGGCGUCUGGAAGUAUCAUGAUUGGAAGUUGUUCAAGCUUGUCACUUUAGAGGAAGUA
Molecule: ribosomal RNA, 1838 nt
Filed under: Aethiophenax ipidarius
Lineage: Eukaryota; Metazoa; Arthropoda; Arachnida; Trombidiformes; Acarophenacidae
Description: SSU rRNA
Rfam family: Eukaryotic small subunit ribosomal RNA
Source: RNAcentral